Molecule: ribosomal RNA, 429 nt
Filed under: Chloroflexota bacterium
Lineage: Bacteria; Bacillati; Chloroflexota
Description: Chloroflexi bacterium partial 16S ribosomal RNA
Rfam family: Bacterial small subunit ribosomal RNA
Source: RNAcentral
UGGGGAAUAUUGCACAAUGGGCGCAAGCCUGAUGCAGCCAUGCCGCGUGUGUGAAGAAGGCCUUCGGGUUGUAAAGCACUUUCAGCGGGGAGGAAGGCGGUGAGGUUAAUAACCUCAUCGAUUGACGUUACCCGCAGAAGAAGCACCGGCUAACUCCGUGCCAGCAGCCGCGGUAAUACGGAGGGUGCAAGCGUUAAUCGGAAUUACUGGGCGUAAAGCGCACGCAGGCGGUCUGUCAAGUCGGAUGUGAAAUCCCCGGGCUCAACCUGGGAACUGCAUUCGAAACUGGCAGGCUAGAGUCUUGUAGAGGGGGGUAGAAUUCCAGGUGUAGCGGUGAAAUGCGUAGAGAUCUGGAGGAAUACCGGUGGCGAAGGCGGCCCCCUGGACAAAGACUGACGCUCAGGUGCGAAAGCGUGUGGAGCAAACAGG